GUGCUUACUUAGGCAGCGCAUAUACUAAAAUUUGAACAGUAAAGAGAAGAUUAACAUGGCCCCUGCACAAGGAUGGCAUGCAAAUUCAUGAAGCAUUUCAUAUUUUU
Meriones unguiculatus (Mongolian gerbil) is the source of this 107-nucleotide small nuclear RNA. Lineage: Eukaryota; Metazoa; Chordata; Mammalia; Rodentia; Muridae. The record is from Ensembl.